CUCCCUUUUUCUUCUACCAAGACAUUAUAACUUUGGGACUUUGUCUUGGUUUCGGACGAGAGAAAUUGUCAAAGUGGCGUGGUGAGUUGGAAAGAGUGGAAAUUUCAUUUGCUGUAUCCAGGUGUGGUUAACGGUGACCAGAUAGCCGAUACUUGAUUCAUUCCAGCUUUGUUCAGUCCAGUUCAGUAGAGGUGAGCCACCAUUAGAUCAUGGCGGCCUCUUCUUCUUUAGUUGACUUAGUAGUAUUCCGAGCUACGUCUCGUACUUUUAUAUUCAGACUAGCAGUUCCAUGACUUAGACAUUUUAUGGGGUUUAUGGGCAAGACUCAGUAUUUGUAUUUCGUUUCUGCACUUCUCUUUAUACUAUGAGACUUUGCGUAUUA
Long non-coding RNA from Lycium barbarum (goji berry), 382 nucleotides. RefSeq lists it as uncharacterized. The transcript is spliced from 2 exons. NCBI's taxonomy places the organism in Eukaryota, Viridiplantae, Streptophyta, Magnoliopsida, Solanales, Solanaceae. The record is from RefSeq and is a predicted model, not a curated record.